CUGAGACACUGCCCGGACUCCUACGGGAGGCUGCAGCGACGAAUCUUCCGCAAUGGGCGAAAGCCUGACGGAGCAAUGCCGCGUGUGGGAUGAAGCGGUUACGCCGUGUAAACCACUGUCAGGACUUAGGAAGAACUGACCGAGUCCAAAGGAAGGGCCGGCUAAUCUCGUGCCAGCAGCCGCGGUAAUACGAGAGGCCCGAGCGUUAGGCGGAAUCACUGGGCUUAAAGGGUGCGUAGGCGGAUCAGUAAGCAUUUUGUGAAAUCCCUCGGCUCAACCGAGGAAUUGCAGAGUGAACUGCUGGUCUUGAGGUAGGCAGAGGUCAUCGGAACGUACGGUGGAGCGGUGAAAUGCGUAGAUAUCGUACGGAACGCCGAAGGGGUAGCCAGGUGACUGGGCCUUACCUGACGCUGAGGCACGAAAGCGUGGGGAUCAAACAGGAUUAGAUACCCU
RNAcentral lists this ribosomal RNA (453 nucleotides) under Isochrysis galbana. RNAcentral describes it as "partial Bacterial small subunit ribosomal RNA". It matches the Rfam family "Bacterial small subunit ribosomal RNA", at positions 319 to 788 of the family's 1533-position model. Lineage: Eukaryota; Haptophyta; Isochrysidales; Isochrysidaceae. The record is from RNAcentral.